This 370-nucleotide ribosomal RNA is filed under the name uncultured bacterium. RNAcentral describes it as "partial 16S ribosomal RNA". It matches the Rfam family "Bacterial small subunit ribosomal RNA", at positions 355 to 747 of the family's 1533-position model. The record is from RNAcentral.
UGGGGAAUAUUGCACAAUGGGCGAAAGCCUGAUGCAGCAACGCCGCGUGAGUGAUGAAGGUCUUCGGAUUGUAAAGCUCUGUCUUUUGGGACGAUAAUGACGGUACCAAAGGAGGAAGCCACGGCUAACUACGUGCCAGCAGCCGCGGUAAUACGUAGGUGGCGAGCGUUGUCCGGAUUUACUGGGCGUAAAGGGUGCGUAGGCGGAUGUUUAAGUGAGAUGUGAAAUACCCGGGCUUAACUUGGGUGCUGCAUUUCAAACUGGAUAUCUAGAGUGCAGGAGAGGAGAAUGGAAUUCCUAGUGUAGCGGUGAAAUGCGUAGAGAUUAGGAAGAACACCAGUGGCGAGCGUCNUCGNCUGUAACUGACGCU